GAUGAACGCUGGCGGCGUGCCUAAUACAUGCAAGUCGAGCGAACAGACGAGGAACUUGCUCCUCUGACGUUAGCGGCGGACGGGUGAGUAACACGUGGAUAACCUACCUAUAAGACUGGGAUAACUUCGGGAAACCGGAGCUAAUACCGGAUAAUAUAUUGAACCGCAUGGUUCAAUAGUGAAAGACGGUUUUGCUGUCACUUAUAUAUGGAUCCGCGCCGCAUUAGCUAGUUGGUAAGGUAACGGCUUACCAAGGCGACGAUGCGUAGCCGACCUGAGAGGGUGAUCGGCCACACUGGAACUGAGACACGGUCCAGACUCCUACGGGAGGCAGCAGUAGGGAAUCUUCCGCAAUGGGCGAAAGCCUGACGGAGCAACGCCGCGUGAGUGAUGAAGGUCUUCGGAUCGUAAAACUCUGUUAUUAGGGAAGAACAAAUGUGUAAGUAACUAUGCACGUCUUGACGGUACCUAAUCAGAAAGCCACGGCUAACUACGUG
This 497-nucleotide ribosomal RNA is filed under the name uncultured bacterium. Its description in RNAcentral is "partial 16S ribosomal RNA". It matches the Rfam family "Bacterial small subunit ribosomal RNA", at positions 28 to 507 of the family's 1533-position model. The record is from RNAcentral.